UACGGAGGGUGCAAGCGUUAUCCGGAUUUACUGGGUUUAAAGGGUGCGUAGGUGGGUCUGUAAGUCAGUGGUGAAAUCUUCGAGCUUAACUCGGAAACUGCCAUUGAUACUAUAGGUCUUGAAUUAUCUGGAGGUAAGCGGAAUAUGUCAUGUAGCGGUGAAAUGCUUAGAUAUGACAUAGAACACCCAUUGCGAAGGCAGCUUACUACGGAUCGAUUGACACUGAGGCACGAAAGCGUGGGGAU
Molecule: ribosomal RNA, 245 nt
Filed under: uncultured Ferruginibacter sp.
Lineage: Bacteria; Pseudomonadati; Bacteroidota; Chitinophagia; Chitinophagales; Chitinophagaceae
Description: partial 16S ribosomal RNA
Rfam family: Bacterial small subunit ribosomal RNA
Source: RNAcentral